Molecule: long non-coding RNA, 514 nt
Organism: Grus americana (Whooping crane)
Lineage: Eukaryota; Metazoa; Chordata; Aves; Gruiformes; Gruidae
Exons: 3
Source: RefSeq, a predicted model, not a curated record
GCAGGCGCUGGGCGGCCGUCCGCGCGCCCCGGCUAGCAGGCGUUCUCGCGCCAGGCCGCGCCGCCGGCACUCACCAGGGCAGCUCGUAAUGGCCGCCGGCGGCAGGAGCGGCCCCCGGGGGGUCGGCGGAUCCGCGCUUCUCGCCUGCCGCGGGCCCGGCCUUCUCGUCCUCCGCGGCCUCAACCUCCAUCCCGGCGGCGGCUGAUGCGGCCCGGCCCCUGUCUCCCCGCCGCCUCCGUGAGGGGAGGGCCGCGCUCCCGGGCCCGCCUCGCGGGGCGGGACGGCGAAGGCCGGCGGGCUACCUUUAUUUCCCCCUAUAGAAUGAAAACAAUAAAAGAAACACCGCAAAAUACUAUAAUAGAGAAUGAGUGUCCACAAGACCAGAUGUGUGGUUACAGCUUUAGUCAGCAGAGGGAGUAUGGACACCUGUAUUAAAAGCCACAUAGGGUCACCCAUGACAGCCAAGGGAAGAGACUUUCUCCUAGAAUUCCUCUGUUGUCUGCAAAAAAAAAAG